RNAcentral lists this ribosomal RNA (554 nucleotides) under Phomopsis sp. CGAJ-12. RNAcentral's name for it is "eukaryotic LSU rRNA". The stretch from base 182 to 335 matches the Rfam family "5.8S ribosomal RNA". Lineage: Eukaryota; Fungi; Ascomycota; Sordariomycetes; Diaporthales; Diaporthaceae. The record is from RNAcentral.
GGGGUCUACUUGUAAGCGACCCAGGCGCACCCAGAACCCUUUGUGACUUAUACCUUACUGUUGCCUCGGCGCAUGCCGGCCCCCCUGGGGGCCCCUCCUUCUGGAGGAGCAGGCACGCCGGCGGCCAACCUAACUCUUGUUUUUACACUGAAACUCUGAGAAUAAAACAUAAAUGAAUGAAAACUUUCAACAACGGAUCUCUUGGUUCUGGCAUCGAUGAAGAACGCAGCGAAAUGCGAUAAGUAAUGUGAAUUGCAGAAUUCAGUGAAUCAUCGAAUCUUUGAACGCACAUUGCGCCCUCUGGUAUUCCGGAGGGCAUGCCUGUUCGAGCGUCAUUUCAACCCUCAAGCCUGGCUUGGUGAUGGGGCACUGCCUGUAAAAGGGCAGGCCCUGAAAUUCAGUGGCGAGCUCGCCAGGACCCCGAGCGCAGUAGUUAAACCCUCGCUCUGGAAGGCCCUGGCGGUGCCCUGCCGUUAAACCCCCAACUUCUGAAAAUUUGACCUCGGAUCAGGUAGGAAUACCCGCUGAACUUAAGCAUAUCAAUAAGCGGAGGA